CGCCGCGCCCCCNGAACCGCACGGUCGCAGAGGCCCCCGCGGUGCUCUUGAAUGAGUGUCCGCGGUCUCGGGUCGCCGAACGUUUACUUUGAAAAAAUUAGAGUGCUCCAGGCAGGCCGGUAAAGCGUUUUUAAACCCGCGCCUGAAUAGUCACGCAUGGAAUAAUGAAAGAGGACCGGUGGUCCUAUUUUGUUGGUUUUCGGGAUUUUCCGCCGUCAUGAUUAAGAGGGACGGCCGGGGGCAUUCGUACCGCGGCGCGAGAGGUGAAAUUUUAGGACCGUCGCGAGACGAACCGUUGCGAAAGCAUUUGCCAAGAAUGUUUUCCUUAAUCAAGAACGAAAGUCAGAGGUUCGAAGGCGAUCAGAUACCGCCCUAGUUCUGACCGUAAACGAUGCCACCUGACGAUCCGCCAGGGUUACUACCAUGACUCGGCGGGCAGCCCCCGGGAAACCCAAGCCUUCGGGUUCCGGGGGAAGUAUGGUUGCAAAGCUGAAACUUAAAGGAAUUGACGGAAGGGCACCACCAGGAGUGGAGCCUGCGGCUUAAUUUGACUCAACACGGGGNNCNUCACCCGGCCCGGACACCGCGAGGAUUGACAGAUUGAGAG
Molecule: ribosomal RNA, 607 nt
Filed under: Peripatoides sp. NZAC03005989
Lineage: Eukaryota; Metazoa; Onychophora; Udeonychophora; Euonychophora; Peripatopsidae
Description: SSU rRNA
Rfam family: Eukaryotic small subunit ribosomal RNA
Source: RNAcentral